Molecule: ribosomal RNA, 86 nt
Filed under: Erinaceus europaeus (western European hedgehog)
Lineage: Eukaryota; Metazoa; Chordata; Mammalia; Eulipotyphla; Erinaceidae
Source: RNAcentral
AGUCUAAGCCAUACUGCCCCGAACACACCCCAUCUCAUCUGAUCUCUGAAGGUAAGCAGGGUCAGGCCUGGUCAGCGCUUGAAUGG